RNAcentral lists this transfer RNA (84 nucleotides) under Camelus bactrianus (Bactrian camel). It matches the Rfam family "tRNA". Rfam says of the family: Transfer RNA (tRNA) molecules are approximately 80 nucleotides in length. Their secondary structure includes four short double-helical elements and three loops (D, anti-codon, and T loops). RNAcentral also lists the same sequence under 1 other name. The record is from Rfam by way of RNAcentral. Lineage: Eukaryota; Metazoa; Chordata; Mammalia; Artiodactyla; Camelidae.
GAGGGUAUAGCUCAGUGAUAGAGUGUGUGCUUAGCAUGCACAAAGUCAUGGUUCAAGGCACGGGUUCAAUCCCUAGUACCUCCA